UGGAAAUUCAUUUUCUUAUUGACCAAAUUCAAAGUCUCAGAGUUAUUCACAAUUCAUAUUAAAGAACUAGAGUUUUACAACAAGUAAAGUUUUGCAUAUUUACAAUCCUGAUCAUCUGUGUGUCCGUCCACAUUCGCUGGUGCAGGGAUUCUCCCUUUGAAGCCUUUACAUAUUUACAAGUCCGGAUCAAUUGUGUUUCCGUCUACAUUCGCUGGUGCAGUGAUUGUUAUAUACUUCCAGGAUUCUAAUCUGAUCACAGGUACAACUUUUUCCUUACCGCAAGCUGAACAUGAUCGUAGCGCAGCCCACUUUUAGCGCAAGGCCUUUACAAUAUCGCACACCGUGUUCAAUAGAGUCACAACUCAAAUAAUACGGUUGUAAGAAAAUGCGAAAAACUAUUUCUUAGCACACAUGGAAAUG
Molecule: long non-coding RNA, 420 nt
Organism: Rhagoletis pomonella (apple maggot)
Lineage: Eukaryota; Metazoa; Arthropoda; Insecta; Diptera; Tephritidae
Exons: 4
Source: RefSeq, a predicted model, not a curated record